CGGAAGAGGCAGGAAGCUGGCUGGGGACUCCAGGAGAAAGAUAAUGGCAGUUAACGCUGAGGAGGAGGCGUGGAAAGGGAGAGACGUGCGUGGCCUUGAGACAUAUUCAUAAAACAGAACAGCAACGCGACUUGGAAAUGGUCCCGAAGGAGAGGAGGAUCCAGGGCAGCUCGGAUGGCUCAGGCACCUGGCAGCAUGAAUGCCUGCUCAUGGAAAGAAGAAUUCAAACUGUGAGGUGGUGGGAACCCCUAGGAUCUUUCAUAACGAAGGGACUCAACGGUUCAGAAGGCUGGCACUCGAUGGUCACCCCCUUCCAGAGUCUCCUGCCUUGAAGGACAGUUCUGCCUCUGGGGCUGCCUGUUCUCAGCAGAGCAGCCUGACGGAGCCUCUAAGAUGUUCAGCGAGAUGACAUCACUCCUCCAUUUCAAGCCCUGCAGUGACUGCUCCCAUCAUCAUCACUCGCCUCCCCGCCCUGCAUCAGCUGGCCCUUCCCCCUCCGACCUUGGCUCCUGUCUCCUCCCUCCAGCUACACAAGUUCCCAGAGUUCCAUGAGCACUAGGCAUGCUUCUGCCACAGGUCCUUUGCACCAGCUGUUCCUACUACUGGACCAGCUUCUUGGCCUUGGCACUAUUCACUCUUUGUCUGGCUAAGUUUUUGUCAUGGGAGCUGUCCUGUGCAUUGUACGAUGUUUACAGCUUCUCCCUUCUAGAUGCCAGUAGCACCUCCACAUACACACAGUGGUGACGACAAAAAUGUCUCCACAUGUUGGCAAAGUCCCCUGGGUAAGAGGGAGGAAACAUCACUGGCCUGAGAACCACUGGCCUAGAAGAGGUUUCCCUAGAUACCCACUAGAUCUCCUCCCUCCCCUUUUCAUGUCUUUGCUCAAAUCUCUUCUGCUCAAUGAGGCCCACCCUGACCACCUCAUUUAAUCCUGCAUCUGGCCCAGGUCCCAAAUUCCUGGUCCCUCAUCUUGCCCUUUUCUUUUCUUUUUUUUUUUUUUUUGCGGUACGCUGGCCUCUCACUGUUGUGGCCUCUCCCGUUGCGGAGCACAGGCUCCGGACGCACAGGCUCAGCAGCCAUGGCUCACGGCCCCAGACGCUCCGCGGCAUGUGGGAUCCUCCCGGACCGGGGCACGAACCCGCAUCCCCUGCAUCGGCAGGCGGACUCUCAACCACUGCACCACCAGGGAAGCCCGCCCUUUUCCUUUUUGCCAUAGCAAUGGUUACUUUCUCACUUCCUACUUGAUUUACUUAUUUCUUACAUUUAUUAUGUGUUUUCUCCCAUUGCAAUGCAAGCUCCCCAAGGGCAGGGGGCCUCAACAGUUUUAAUUACUCAUGUGCCCCAAGUGUUUAGAACUGUGCCUGGCAUAUAGCAAACAUAAAAUAAAUAUUUUUGAAUGGCUUAAUAAACUCGAGGACCUUAGAUUGCUGUGGAGGGCCUCGCUGAGGUCGAUGCGUGUAAAUUCACCGUGAUUCUCCUUUUCUGAGGUCACAUACUGCCUUGUAUUGUAAGGUGACUUUU
Molecule: long non-coding RNA, 1521 nt
Organism: Orcinus orca (killer whale)
Lineage: Eukaryota; Metazoa; Chordata; Mammalia; Artiodactyla; Delphinidae
Exons: 3
Source: RefSeq, a predicted model, not a curated record